UGGAUAACCGUGGUAAUUCUAGAGCUAAUACAUGCAUCAAGCCUCGACUUCGGGAGAGGCGUAUUUAUUAGAUAAAAAACCAACGCCCUUCGGGGCUGCUUGGUGAGUCAUGAUAACGCAACGAAUCGCAUGGCCUUGCGCCGGCGAUGGUUCAAUCAAAUUUCUGCCCUAUCAACUUUCGAUUGUAGUUUAGUGGACUACAAUGGUUUCAACGGGUAACGGGGAAUUAGGGUUCGAUUCCGGAGAGGGAGCCUGAGAAACGGCUACCACAUCCAAGGAAGGCAGCAGGCGCGCAAAUUACCCAAUCCCGACACGGGGAGGUAGUGACAAUAAAUACUGAUACAGGGCUCUUUUGGGUCUUGUAAUUGGAAUGAGUGCAAUCUAAAUCCAUCAACGAGGAACAAUUGGAGGGCAAGUCUGGUGCCAGCAGCCGCGGUAAUUCCAGCUCCAAUAGCGUAUAUUAAAGUUGUUGCAGUUAAAAAGCUCGUAGUUGAACCUUGGGCCUGGCUGACCGGUCCGCCUCACCGCGUGCACUGGUUCGGCCGGGUCUUUCCUUCUGCGGAACGGCAUGCCCUUCACUGGGUGUGUUUUGGGAAGCAGGACUUUUACUUUGAAAAAAUUAGAGUGUUCAAAGCAGGCCUUUGCUCGAAUACAUUAGCAUGGAAUAAUGGAAUAGGACGGUGCUCCUAUUUUGUUGGUUUCUAGGAGAGCCGUAAUGAUUAAUAGGGACAGUUGGGGGCAUCCGUAUUCAGUUGUCAGAGGUGAAAUUCUUGGAUUUACUGAAGACGAACUACUGCGAAAGCAUUUGCCAAAGAUGUUUUCAUUAAUCAGUGAACGAAAGUUAGGGGAUCGAAGACGAUCAGAUACCGUCGUAGUCUUAACCAUAAACUAUGCCGACUAGGGAUCGGGCGAUGUUAUUGUAUUGACUCGCUCGGCACCUUUCGAGAAAUCAAAGUGUUUGGGUUCUGGGGGGAGUAUGGUCGCAAGGCUGAAACUUAAGGAAAUUGACGGGAAGACCCUUA
This 1022-nucleotide ribosomal RNA is filed under the name Scolecobasidium ailanthi. RNAcentral describes it as "SSU rRNA". It matches the Rfam family "Eukaryotic small subunit ribosomal RNA", at positions 140 to 1172 of the family's 1831-position model. Lineage: Eukaryota; Fungi; Ascomycota; Dothideomycetes; Venturiales; Sympoventuriaceae. The record is from RNAcentral.